CCUACGGGAUGCAGCAGUGGGGAAUUUUGCGCAAUGCUCGUAAGAGUGACGCAGCGACGCCGCGUGAAUGACGCAGGCCUUCGGGUCGUAAAGUUCUUUCGACAGGGAAGAAAAUUCCUAUAAGUACCUGUGUCUGUAUUGACGGUCCCUGUAUAAGCGGCCCCGACUAACUCCGUGCCAGCAGCCGCGCUAAUACGGCGGGGGCGAGCGUUGUUCGGAGUGACUGGGCGUAAAGAGGACGUAGGCGGUGGUGUAAGUCAUUAGUCAAAGACUAGAGCUCAACUUUAGUAAGGCUAGUGAUACUAUAAUACUAGAGUAUCAGAGAGGAGGGCAGAAUGCGUGGUGUAGCGGUGAAAUGCGUAGAUAUCAGGAGGAAUACCGUUAGCGAAGGCGGCAAUCUGGCUGGAAACUGACGCUGAGGUGCGAAAGCGUGGGUAGCAAACAGGAUUAGAUACCCGGGUAGUC
RNAcentral lists this ribosomal RNA (465 nucleotides) under uncultured bacterium. RNAcentral's name for it is "partial 16S ribosomal RNA". It matches the Rfam family "Bacterial small subunit ribosomal RNA", at positions 338 to 795 of the family's 1533-position model. The record is from RNAcentral.